UUCCGGUUGAUCCCGCCGGACCUGACUGCUAUCGGAUUGAUACUAAGCCAUGCGAGUCUUUGUAGUAAUACAAGGCAGACGGCUCAGUAACACGUAGUCAACCUACCCUAUGGACGAGAAUAAUCUCGGGAAACUGAGCAUAAUUCUUGAUAGAUCAUAAUGCCUGGAAUGGUUUAUGGUUAAAAUGAUUCGUCGCCAUAGGAUGGGACUGCGGCCUAUCAGCUUGUUGGUGAGGUAAUGGCCCACCAAGGCGAUUACAGGUACGGGCUCUGAGAGGAGAAGCCCGGAGAUGGGUACUGAGACACGGACCCAGGCCCUAUGGGGCGCAGCAGGCGAGAAAACUUUGCAAUGUGCGAAAGCACGACAAGGUUAAUCCGAGUGAUUUCUGCUAAAGAAAUCUUUUGCCAGUCGUAAAACCGCUGGUGAAUAAGGGGUGGGCAAGUUCUGGUGUCAGCCGCCGCGGUAAAACCAGCACCUCAAGUGGUCAGGAUGAUUAUUGGGCCUAAAGCAUCCGUAGCCGGCUUUGUAAGUUUUCGGUUAAAUCCAUGUGCUCAACGCAUGGGCUGCCGAAAAUACUGCAUAGCUAGGGAGUGGAAGAGGUAGACGGUACUCAGUAGGUAGGGGUAAAAUCCUUUGAUCUAUUGAUGACCACCUGUGGCGAAGGCGGUCUACCAGAACACGUUCGACGGUGAGGGAUGAAAGCUGGGGGAGCAAACCGGAUUAGAUACCCGGGUAGUCCCAGCUGUAAACGAUGCAGACUCGAUGAUGCAUUGGCAUAAUAGCCAUUGCAGUGUCGCAGGGAAGCCGUUAAGUCUGCCGCCUGGGAAGUACGUACGCAAGUAUGAAACUUAAGGAAUUGGCGGGGGAGCACCACAAGGGGUGAAGCCUGCGGUUCAAUUGGAUUCAACGCCGG
Molecule: ribosomal RNA, 913 nt
Filed under: uncultured marine archaeon
Lineage: Archaea
Description: bacterial SSU rRNA
Rfam family: Archaeal small subunit ribosomal RNA
Source: RNAcentral